Molecule: regulatory RNA element, 91 nt
Organism: Paenibacillus pectinilyticus
Lineage: Bacteria; Bacillati; Bacillota; Bacilli; Caryophanales; Paenibacillaceae
Rfam family: ylbH leader
About the family: This family is a putative regulatory RNA structure that is found upstream of the ylbH gene in B. subtilis and related low GC Gram-positive bacteria.
Source: Rfam
AAAUAAUAACGGCGACUGCUUGCGCAGCCGCCUCAUGGGAGAGGAGAAACCGGACGAAGAGCUUAUGGGGAAACGUAAGCCUUCUCCGCGG